This 462-nucleotide ribosomal RNA is filed under the name uncultured bacterium. Its description in RNAcentral is "partial 16S ribosomal RNA". It matches the Rfam family "Bacterial small subunit ribosomal RNA", at positions 28 to 507 of the family's 1533-position model. The record is from RNAcentral.
GACGAACGCUGGCGGCGUGCUUAACACAUGCAAGUCGAACGGUGAAGCCCUUCGGGGUGGAUCAGUGGCGAACGGGUGAGUAACACGUGAGCAACCUGCCCCUGGCUCUGGGACAACCACUGGAAACGGUGGCUAAUACCGGAUACGACCCGCCUCGGCAUCGAGUGUGGGUGGAAAGUUUUUCGGCUGGGGAUGGGCUCGCGGCCGAUCAGCUUGUUGGUGAGGUGAAGGCUCACCAAGGCGACGACGGGUAGCCGGCCUGAGAGGGCGACCGGCCACACUGGGACUGAGACACGGCCCAGACUCCUACGGGAGGCAGCGGUGGGGAAUAUUGCACAAUGGGCGAAAGCCUGAUGCAGCGACGCCGCGUGAGGGAUGACGGCCUUCGGGUUGUAAACCUCUUUCAGCUCCGAAGAAGCGAAAGUGACGGUAGGAGCAGAAGAAGCACCGGCUAACUACGUG